AGGAUUAACGCUGGCGGCGUGCCUAACACAUGCAAGUCGAACGAGGUAGCAAUACCUAGUGGCAGACGGGUGAGUAACGCGUGGUCAACCUACCGUUGAGUGGGGGAUAACUAGCCGAAAGGUUAGCUAAUACCGCAUACGAGUCUCGGGGGCAUCCCUGGGCCUUAAAAGGAGCAAUCCGCUCGAUGACGGGACCGCGUCCCAUUAGCUAGAUGGUGGGGUAAUGGCCUACCAUGGCUCCGAUGGGUAGCUGGUUUGAGAGAGCGACCAGCCACACUGGGACUGAGAAACGGCCCAGACUCCUACGGGAGGCAGCAGUGAGGAAUUUUCCGCAAUGGGCGAAAGCCUGACGGAGCGACGCCGCGUGUGGGAAGAAGGUUUUCGGAUCGUAAACUGCUUUUCUCGGGGAAGAGAACGGACGGUACCCGAGGAAUCGAGCCCCGGCUAACUACGUGCCAGCAGCCGC
This 466-nucleotide ribosomal RNA is filed under the name uncultured bacterium. RNAcentral's name for it is "SSU rRNA". It matches the Rfam family "Bacterial small subunit ribosomal RNA", at positions 26 to 518 of the family's 1533-position model. The record is from RNAcentral.